This 253-nucleotide ribosomal RNA is filed under the name uncultured bacterium. RNAcentral's name for it is "partial 16S ribosomal RNA". It matches the Rfam family "Bacterial small subunit ribosomal RNA", at positions 524 to 776 of the family's 1533-position model. The record is from RNAcentral.
UACGGAGGGGGCUAGCGUUGUCCGGAAUUAUUGGGCGUAAAGAGCUCGUAGGCGGUCUGUCGCGUCGGCUGUGAAAACCCGGAGCUCAACUCCGGGCCUGCAGUCGAUACGGGCAGACUGGAGUUCGGCAGGGGAGACUGGAAUUCCUGGUGUAGCGGUGAAAUGCGUAGAGAUCAGGAAGAACACCCGUGGCGAAGGCGGCCCACUGGGCCGGUACUGACGCUGAGGCGCGAAGGCGUGGGGAGCGAACGGG